CCUACGGGCGGCAGCAGUGAGGGAUAUUGGUCAAUGGGGGAAACCCUGAACCAGCAACGCCGCGUGAGGGAAGACGGUUUUCGGUUUGUAAACCUCUAUCCGCAGUGAAGAUAAUGACGGUAGCAGAGUAGGAAGCCCCGGCUAACUACGUGCCAGCAGCCGCGGUAAUACGUAGGGAGCAAGCGUUGUCCGGAUUUACUGGGUGUAAAGGGUGCGUAGGCGGCCGUGCAAGUCAGAAGUGAAAUGCAGGGGCUUAACCCCGGAACUGCUUUUGAAACUGUGGGGCUUGAGUGCAGUAGAGGUAAGCGGAAUUCCCGGUGUAGCGGUGAAAUGCGUAGAGAUCGGGAGGAACACCAGCGGCGAAGGCGGCCUGCUGGGCUUUAACUGACGCUGAGGCACGAAAGCGUGGGUAGCAAACAGGAUUAGAUACCCUAGUAGUC
RNAcentral lists this ribosomal RNA (440 nucleotides) under uncultured bacterium. Its description in RNAcentral is "partial 16S ribosomal RNA". It matches the Rfam family "Bacterial small subunit ribosomal RNA", at positions 338 to 795 of the family's 1533-position model. The record is from RNAcentral.